CCUACGGGUGGCAGCAGUGAGGAAUAUUGGUCAAUGGACGAGAGUCUGAACCAGCCAAGUAGCGUGAAGGAUGACUGCCCUAUGGGUUGUAAACUUCUUUUAUAUGGGAAUAAAACGUUCCACGUGUGGGAUUUUGUAUGUACCAUAUGAAUAAGGAUCGGCUAACCCCGUGCCAGCAGCCGCGGUAAUACGGAGGAUCCGAGCGUUAUCCGGAUUUAUUGGGUUUAAAGGGAGCGUAGGUGGAUUGUUAAGUCAGUUGUGAAAGUUUGCGGCUCAACCGUAAAAUUGCAGUUGAAGCUGGCAGUCUUGAGUACAGUAGAGGUGGGCGGAAUUCGUGGUGUAGCGGUGAAAUGCUUAGAUAUCACGAAGAACUCCGAUUGCGAAGGCAGUUCACUGGACUGCAACUGACACUGAGGCUCGAAAGUGUGGGUAUCAAACAGGAUUAGAUACCCGAGUAGUC
RNAcentral lists this ribosomal RNA (460 nucleotides) under uncultured bacterium. RNAcentral's name for it is "partial 16S ribosomal RNA". It matches the Rfam family "Bacterial small subunit ribosomal RNA", at positions 338 to 795 of the family's 1533-position model. The record is from RNAcentral.